AGGUUUUCCAGCCUGAAGAAAUUGAUGAUGCAGACCUGUUUGCUUGUCUUCCUAAGGAUUAUUCACCCCUUUCCGUGGGAGGGGCAGCGUCACUGAGAAAGUUACGGGUUGCAAGCUUGAGUGUCUAAGAACCGCCUGGCGAGCUUCUUAAGCAGAUCGCCAGGUUCCAUCUUCGCAGACUCUGGUUCAGCAGGUAGCAGGUUAGCCCGAGAAUCUGCAUUUCUAACAAGCUCCUAGGCGUGCCCACGCUGUCAGUAUUGGCAGCCCAACCUUUUUUGGGGGGUGGGGGGGGGAGUUUUUCUAUGUUGCCGGUCUCGAACUCCUAGCCUUAAGCGAUCUUCCCUACUCGGCCUCCCAAAAUGCCAGGAUCGCAAGCGUAAGCCACUGUGCCAGACCACCACCCUUUUUCUUCUUUUUUGUAAGUGGACUAAUUAUAGUUGUAUAUAAGCAGCUCCACUUUUGAUGACCACUGCUCUAUUUUGUCGGCUCCUGGGGACCUCCUUUCCAUGAAGUGGAGAAGGAAGGGGAUAGAGGAGUCCCUCAUCACAGGGUCCUUUUGCGCACUGCUAUCCCUGGAAUGAGACCCUGGGAAGGGCCCCGGAUCACUCAGGCUGUCACUGCAAGGAAAAAGUUGAGGAAGCAGCAGUGCCCCUGGAAAGCCUGGAAGUGUCCCUGCUGCUUGGAUCAAGGAACAAUUCGUCCUUGCAAGGAAGAAGCAUCCCUUGUUGAUGAUAAGGACAGAUUUCCUCAGCUGCCCCAGAAAGCCAGCCUCUGCCUAAAACACCGUAGGUCAGGAGGGAAAGCUGGCGGGGAACCAGCCAGCUGCACCACAGACAGUCUGGUGGUAUACCUGGGAAGAAAGCUACCUGCAAGGACCUACUCUGUUCCUACUACGCUCUGGGUGUCCCCCAAGUCACUGCCUAUUUUGCUUGGUUGCAUAAACUAUUUAUGUAAAUGUACUUCCAAUUUUAGUGCUUACAGCCACUAGCAAAAAGCAAAAGCUUUGGAGUCAGUGGUCCUGGUUAACUUACCCCUCCCUCCACAAGGUAGUAACAGUGUAGGGAACUGUGGAAAAGGCUGUUUGCCUUCCCUGAGUCUAAUUCUUCAUGGAGUAAAUGGAGUCUGUUUCUUCAGUACUACACCAAGUUGUUCAUGAGGAUCGAGUUUUCUAAUAUUCAUGAAAAUACUUUGUAAACCCUGGCACACCAUGCUCAUGUUAAUCACCUUCUUACUGGAAGAAAAUGCUUUAGAUAAUUUAGGCUUUUUUUUUUUACCCAUAGAAUUCCCUUCCUUCCUUCUGCUUUUUUUUUUCUUUUCUUUAUUUUUUCAGAGAUGAUGUUUCAGUAUGUUGCCCAGGCUGGUCUCGAACUCCUGGCCUCAAGCGAUCCUCCUGCCUCAGCCUCCCAAGUAGCUGGAACUACAGGCAUGCCUCACCAUACUUUGCCCCUUCUACUUUUGUAGAGCCAAGCCUGACCUUCCUGGACUGUUGUUUUCAAGCAUAAUAUCUCUGGUACAACAUUGAUACAAUCCACAUGAGUUCUUUAAGUAAGUGGCUAGUUACUUGGGGAUUCAAAGGAUCAUCUUGUCUCAGACUUUGGGUUCCUAUUGUCAAUACUUAAAUUCUAUGAUAGGAUGCCCCAGGAAAGAAGGAAUACAAGGCCGAGCUGCGUGGUGACUUUCAGGGGCCCUAUUUUUGCCUUAGUAGGCCUUUCUCUCCAUAAAACAGUUAAUAAAAAUUUCAUUUUAUAGUCACAUUGCUAUGAAGAUGAUUAUAUUAAAAUGAUAUCAUAAAACAUUUUUAGACCUGUAAGUUCAUUUAUUGCUCUUGAUUAAAAAAAUUGAAACAUUUUCAUGGUCCUUCAGAAUAUCAUGGUUUGUAGGCAUGAUGCCUCCUGCACAUCAUGGAGAAGUUGGCUGAUGCAAAAUGAAUUCCUCUAUAGGCACAAGUGUGUUUGUAUUAAUAUUAUGAAUAUAAAAACAAGGCUAGCCAUGGUGGCUCAUGCCUGUAACCCCGGCACUUUGGGAGGCUGAAGCGAGAGAGUCACUUGAGCCCAGGAGUUUGAGAACAACCUGGGCAACAUAGAGAGACCCUGUCUCUACAAAGAUUUCAAAAUUAGCCAGGCAUGGUGGUGCGCCCCUGUAGUCCCAGUUGCUUGUGAGGCUGAGGCAGGAGGAUGGGUUGGGCUUGGGAGGUCGAGGCUGCAGUAAGCUGUGAUUAUGCUAUUGCACUCCAGCCUGGGUGACAGAAUGAGAUCCUGUCUCAAAAAAAUAAAAAACAAAACAAAACCUCAGCUAACCACAAAAUCAUCAUAUUUAUGGGAGGACAAAAUGAGAUGCUUGAAAAAGAUGACCUCGUAGUUUGUGGUUGUGGUUGCUUCCUAAACUACAUUCUCACCGUACUUCCUAGUUAUCUAACUAGGAGAUUUGGAUAAGGUUGAGUCCAUCUCCACCACUCUCACCACCAGUUCCGGGAAUGAGUCCCUAGAGGUUUAACCCGAUCAAUCAGGAUGACCAUGACUCUUCCAUAGCGAUUGGGGCAGGGAUGGCACCUACCCCUGGCGACCCGUGCUGCUCCCCUGGCAAUAGGGAUUGGCUCAGAAUAAAAACUUGGCCUUGUCAAGUUCAAUUUUGCCCAAUCUGAGUAAGGGAAUCACAGAGAAACAGCACCCAAUCUCUAGAUCCUUCCAGUUGUGUGAGCCAACCAGUUCCAGUUAUUGUGGAAGCCAGUUUCAAUUGUUGUUUUGUUUUUACUAGCAACCAAAAAUGUAUGUAGCAAUCUGUUACAGUAUGUUAAAAUUGAAGUUUCCACUAAGACUCCAAGAUGAAGUAAAAAUGAGAUAUCAAAGUGUGUGUGAGAGAGAUUGCCCUCCUUCCUGGGGGAAUCUUCAGAGUAGAUUUAGGAGAGAUGAUUUCCUCCUGCUUAUUAUUAUUUUUUUUUUUUUUGGAGUCUCACUCUGUCACUCAGGCUGGAGUGCAGUGACAUGAUCUCAGCUCACUGCAACCUCCACCUCCCAGGUUCAAGGGAUUCUCCCACCUCAGCCUCCCGAGUAGCUGGGAUUACAGGCACGUGCCACCACACCCAGCUAAUCUUUGUAUUUUUAGUAGAGACGGGGCUUUACCAUGUUGACCAGGCUGGUCUUGAACUCCUGACCUCAGGUAAUCCACCCACCUCGACCUCCCAAAGUGCUGGGAUUACAGGCAUGGGCCACCAUGCUAGCUGAUUUCCUCCUUCUCUUAAACACCUCUCUCACACACUUUGGGAAUAUAAAGGAAGGGAGAAAAUCGUGACCAAGAUGACUUCACUGGAAGGAUCUCUUUGGAGAUGGGCCCCUCCCCAAUAGAGAAAAUGAGGGUAUCUGCCUCCUUGCCUCAAUUUGGCUGAUAAGAGACUUUGAGGAGACACUUACAUACCUGUUGGUUCCCAGGCACUUGGGGACAGGGUGACCUGCAGGAGCGUCAAGCUGCGUGUGUUUUGGUAGCACAACAAAGGCAAACAAGGUAGGUUGUCAGCCAGAUCGGAACUUUGCUGGCAGGAUGUCACCUAGAGUCUUAAUUUCUGCCUAAGGAGCUAACCUGGAAGCACGAAGACUCCCCAGUGGUGAGUCAAGUGUGAACAGCACUCCUGGAGAACCAGGGCAGAGGGAAAGCCAGCCUGAGAUGAGGCCUUGCCCAGUGGGUCAUGGGCAUGCACUGGGAUUUGGGAUGUGCAGGGAGUCCCCGAGGGGACUAGGAGAGAGGGUCAGGUCUAACUAGAUCUUACCUAAGAGUGCAAAACAAAGUUAGAACAAGUUCAAGUGUGUAUUAGUCCGUUCUCAUGCUGCUAUAAAGAACUACUUGAGACUGGGUAACUUAUAAAGGAAAGAGGUUUAACUGACUCACAGUUCUGCAUGGCUUGGGGAGGCCUCAGGAAACUUGCAAUCAUGGCGGAAGACAAAGGGGAAGCAAAGCACGUCUUACGUGGCAGCAGGAGAGAGAGAGAGCAAGCCAAGGGGAGGUGCCACACUUUAAAACCACCAGAUCUCGUGAGAACUCACUAUCAUGAGAACAGCCUGGGGGAACUGCCCCCAUGAUCCAAUUACUCCCACCACGCCCCUCCCUCAACACAUGGAGAUUGCAAUUCAAGAUGAGAUUUGGGUGGGAACACAGAGCCAAACCAUAUCAAAGUGAAAACUGUCCUAUCCCCCACUUUCCCCAUCUCAGGCUAGGCAGAAAUGAAAACCGCAGGGAACAGGUGAGGUGGGAAAGAGCAGGGCCAGCCACAGCCCCUUCCCCACCUGAGGCAGGGAAGGCUAAGGCGGCCUAUGUCCUACCUGGGGCAAAGGGAAAACAGUUCUCAUCCUGUAGUGAAGAUUGCCAUGUUGAUUAGUAUCUUGGACUGACGCUACCAUUUCUUCACUGGGAUUCUGUUUGCAAUGAAAGUGCCUACAGAAUUGUCUAUUCCCUAAGAGGACCUUAGAAGAACACAGAGAGCAUGCACUAAAAUUCUGCUCGUGUGGGGAGGGAUUCUUUGCAAAGGUUUGUAGGAGAGAACCAUGAGGGAUGGUACAGGAAUCCAGGUUAAAAGCAAUGAGGCCAACACCACCCCUCCCUCGACCUAGAGGGAUGCUGGGCGAGGUUACCAGAAAGAAGGAGAGUUGCGAAGAGCAGACCACCUUGAGACAAUCACCUUCCAUCCAGGGUCACAGUCACCAGCUGGGGUGACCUCAUAGGGAGGGAGGCAGGAGAUUAAAUUCUCUGACCUCGCUCUCUUCUGUCCCUCCAGUUUCCUGCUGGAACUCGCCAUUGCCCAUAUCCAGCCAGAAUCCACAGGGCACGUAGCAUAUUGAUGUAAUCCAUACAAGUUCACCAUGGUCAAGAGCAGGGUGGAGCGUGAAUGGGAAGGGAUCCCACACACAGACUGCCCUUGUGCUCAUCUAGGGCCACAGGGAAGGCGGUCGUCACCGAAGAAGGUCUAAGGGCGUAGCAGAAGGCAAAAUGUGAAAGAGAGUUCCAUUUUUAUUAUAACCUGCAGUCUUUUCUUGCACAACAUAUGGGUUACUUGAACUACCUGAUUCAACCCUAAUUUUUGGCUUGAUUCGAAAGCUUUAGUGUAAAUAACAAACAAAUGCUCAUCUAAUUUAUAUCAAUGGCUAGCACUAGAGGGGAGAGAGACAGAGCAAGAAAAUAUAACUGGGGGAGAGAAGGAAAAAGAGAAGAAACAAAUGAGAUCUUAAUAAUUUGGGAGAAUUGUGGCCUUUUAAGAGUGCUCUGGCAAUUGAGGAAAAUCAGAAAUUAAUGGCUAUAGGCCGAGCGCAGUGGCUUAUGCUUAUAAUCCCAGCCCUUUAGGAGGCCAAGGGGGUGGAUCACCUGAGGUCAGGAGUUAGAGACCAGCCUGGCCAACAUGGCGAAACUCCAUCUCUACUAAAAAUACAAAAAUUAGCCAGCUGUGGUGGUGGUCCCCUGUAGUCCCAGCUACUCAGGAGGCUGAGGCAGGAGAAUCAUUUGAACCUGGAGGGUGG
Molecule: long non-coding RNA, 5498 nt
Filed under: Homo sapiens (human)
Lineage: Eukaryota; Metazoa; Chordata; Mammalia; Primates; Hominidae
Description: non-protein coding MIS18A-AS1:3
Source: RNAcentral